AAUAUUAGAAUUCUUAAAUAAACAAGAAUUUGCUAACUAGGGAUUUUAACCUAGUUAGCUAAUAGUUUAGAAAUAACUUAUAAUAGGGUUAAAAUUAACCAAAGUUAUUAUAGAAACUAAAGUGGAGGGACCUAAGUUGUUAAAAUUGAAACCAAAAUUGAUAAAACAAAUAAAAAAUAAACCAAACACCCCAAAAUGGGAGUCUGGUCGAUCAAAAGAAAGACAGGGGCGAUCCCCAUGCUCCAAACCCUAGAAAACUCACAAAAACUCUCAAUUGGAGGUGCAAAUCUGGUCCAAAACGAAAUCCGAGCUUAGAAUCGUGAUCCUCAUCGCAAGGGGGUUGUAAGUUUGACUUUUGACAAGCUAGAUGGAGGCUUGGAAGGAAGCGGGUCAAACGAAGCAAAUAAGAAGUAAAAGCAUGUUUCAGAAGCAAGGAGCGAAUAGUAAUUUGGAUAAUUGCGUCGCCACAGAAUAUCGGUAAUAAAAGCAAGGUGUUGAAACGGGUCACUAGGUUGGCUCGAGCUAGGUGAAUGUCGAGGGUCCCGGAUGAAGAUCGAGCAUCGAGCAAGAACCGAACACACAUUAAAUAAAGCUUCCGCAACGUUGUUUUGUCGUUAUUCUAAACGGCGAUUUAAAUCACAUUAUGUAUAUCACUUAAAUUGUAAAAGUUUUAAACAAACCCGUAUUUCCGAUAUAUAUAAUCAUUAAUUACAUGAUUAUUUUCGCAAAAUA
Molecule: long non-coding RNA, 732 nt
Organism: Helianthus annuus (common sunflower)
Lineage: Eukaryota; Viridiplantae; Streptophyta; Magnoliopsida; Asterales; Asteraceae
Exons: 4
Source: RefSeq, a predicted model, not a curated record